This 3169-nucleotide long non-coding RNA is filed under the name Mus musculus (house mouse). RNAcentral describes it as "long non-coding RNA chr1:15853330-15856499". Lineage: Eukaryota; Metazoa; Chordata; Mammalia; Rodentia; Muridae. The record is from RNAcentral.
AGAUGUUGUGUGUGUAGUUCUGAGGCCUGUCUGUCGGAAAGGCUGUCUUUCCUUCAUACAUACCCAGUGGCAGCUGGAAUAGAAAGUUGGCUUCAAGUUUAGUUCCUUUGGGGGCACACAGGUUUUGCUCUGUUUGAUUUUAAAUAACCCACUGAUGCUGAGAGAGUCUGCCUCUUCAGGAUCUUUGUUCCUCUCUAGGUGACCUAGUUUUCUCUUAGCGAACAAGGGUUAUCUUCAAAGUGUCCCCCUGCUCUGAGAGAGACCUUGCCUUUCAGAAGAAAGAUCCGCCGUGCUAAUUUCAUCUUAUCUGAAUGACAGAAAAUGAAGCUCCUUCCACCUCAGCUCACUCUUGCUUAGCCAUCAGGAGAGUCUCAUUUUCGUUCACUCUUUAAAACGUGUCCCAGUUGCUAGAGUGCUUUCUUAGCAUACAUAAUGCCCUAGGAUCACUCUUCAGUACCAAAAAAUGAGGGUGAAGGUGCACACCUGUAACCCUAGCACCUUGAGAGGCAGAGGCAGAGGAAUUAGAAGUUCAAGUUCAAGUAAACAGUGGGUUUGAGGACAAUUACAUGAGAAAAAAAUGAUACAUUUAAAGUCGCUAAGCUGAGACUGCCCCUCCCCCCUUCUCAUCUAUGUUACCCACAUAAUUUAUGAGGGAAGGAAGAUAAGUAAGCUUAUAUCUCUCACCUAAACCUAAAAGUUGCAUACCUCUUUCCAUUCACUUAAGUGGUUACUUAUGCCUCAGAGUGCCCGACCAAACAUCCUGGAGCUACCGGUAGUUGUGAGCUACCGGUAGUUCCCUGGGUGCUGAGAACUAAACCCCAGUCCUCUGUAAGAGUAAUGAGCACACUUAACUGCUAAGCCAACUUUCCAGCCCCCAAAUUAAAGGUUUUUGUUAAAAUUAAUUUUCUAUGAAAAUACCUUUGGCAGUUAAAUAAAAAUAAAAUCAGAAAUACUAUCAGGAGACAUUUGCUACCCCUUUAAGCUUCUUGUUGGCCACAGUAGUUAAAUGAUCGGCACCAAAAAGUCUGCAUUUUAGUUAGCUAUGUUAGUGAGUGAUUAGUCACACCAAAGGAUUUAUACCAUUUAAGUAUUGAUUCAAUUCUUCAAAGAAACUAUCCUCAAUUUUAAGCCUGCUUCAAAACAAAGCCAGGCUGAGGUCCUAUAAUGGAGUCUUGGGCAUAGUCAGGAUGAUCUUCACUGAAGUCGAGUCCCAGAUGAGGAAGCUGGACCAGAUGACUGCAGAUGCUGAGAAACAGCUUGCCAUCCUAGGCCUGUGAGCACACCAUGCCACUUAGCCACAAACUCAGUUAUCUCCCAACCAAGGGUAAAGCUAAUAUUCUCUGAGUAGGAAGGAGAUCAUAACGUUUGCAGGAAAAUCUGUGUUUUCUACCCUCUGUGCCAUAGGGAGAAAACUAGCGAGCACCUUUAACUAAGCAUGAAGUCAGACAUUAAAAGAUAUGUCUUAUUCUGCUUCAGCCUCUAUACUUUGAGAAAUCUUAUAUAUGAAUGAUGAUAGAAUGCUAAUAAUUGAAGCAGUUGGCUAAUUUGGUGCCAAAAUGUCAUGAAAAUUGUAACUUUUUAAGAAAGUCCUAUUGAUCUAGCAUGAAUAUUUGAUCUUUUCAUCUAAACCAAAUUUUUUUUACUUCCUUAAAAAUGUUUAUAGCUUUUCAUUAUAAAACAUCUUUUGAAAUUUUGACAACUUUCCCUGUGGAAAAUUAUUUAUGAUGAUUUACUUGAAGCUAGUUUAGAAUUUAUAAGGGUAAUAAAUAGUAUAGGAACUUUAUGGGUGAAAGUUCACAUAUAUGUUUUUUUUUUUUAAAGUGAGAAGCUCUUAAGUAUAGGUGGCCCUGAAUACUAGAAGUUGGGAGGCAGAAACAGGAGAUCUCUGAGUUAGAGGUCAGCCUGAUCUACAGAACAAGUUCCAGGAUGGCAAAGGCUACACAAAGAAACUCUGUCUUGACCUGUUCUUCCCACAAAAGCAGACAGAUGUCUAUUAAUUAGAGGCCAGCCUGGCUACGUAGUGAACUUCAGGCUAUAUAAUGAGAACCUUUAAUUUUUAAAAGAGGGAGGGUGAGAGAAAGAGAAAACAUAGGUGCCUUAAACAACAAUUUGCCCCAAACUGGAGCACAUGGUAGUGAUUCUAGUAUAGACAUGUAUGCUGUGACCAAAUGUAAGGUAAAAGUCUACAGGCCAUAGGAGCUUUUAGUACGAGUCCUUAACUCAUUAAAAAUAAAAACCAAGAGACUGUGGUCUACCUUGAGAACUAUCCCUAAAUGUUCUUUCUCAGUGGCAAAGCGUAGCAAUGCGAGAGUCCAGGUCCCUGGCGCAGCUUUUGGAGGCCUCGGAAGCUUUGAAUGCAGCUUGUCAAUACUCGGCCCAUUCACACGCAUGCUCGGAAGUCGCUCCCAGGUGCUCUAUAUAAAAAUGAAGCGGUGCACAUCUGGACAUGAGCACUGUUCUACUCGACGCACUUUUUUCCAGGUUCCCUGACAUCGAGGAUUGCCAAUGGCUUGCCAGCGAAGAGUCUGAUUUCUGAAACGAUAUUGGAGAAAUGUAGGUUCUACUAAAAUCAAGCCAGAGGAAAUUCGAUUCUAUGUAAAUCAAACUUAUUUAAAGAGUUAGUGUUUUUAAUUUGUGUGUAUGAGUGUUUUGUCUGUGCAUAUGUAAGUAUGCUAUAUGAUUAUCUGGUAAAGAGGGUGCUUGGUCCCCUGGAGCUGGGUUGUUAGCCUCUAUGUGGAUGCUGGGAACUGAAUCUAGGUCCUCUGCAAAAGCAGCAAGAGGCCUUAAUUACUGAGCCAUCUCUCUAACCAUUGUUGUCUUUAAAACUAAUUUGCUGGCUGGUGUUAUGCCAACCUAAUACAGGCUAGAGCCAUUCAGGAAGAGAGAACCUCAACUAAGAAAAUGAUCCCCCCAGAUUGGCCUGUGGGCAAGCCUAUGGUACAUUUUUUUUUUAAAUUGAUGCUUGAUAGGAGAGGGAUCAGCUCACUGUGGGCAGUGCCAUCCUUAGGAUGAUGUACCUGGGUGUUGUGAGAAAGACUAAUAAGUCAAAAGGAGCAAACAAGUAAGCUAUGCUCCUCCGUGGUCUCUGCUCCAGUCCCUGCCUCCAUGGUCCUGCCCUGACUUCCCUCAAUGAUGAACUUAAUAAGGUUAAAUAAACCCUUCACUUCCC